AGAGUUUGAUCCUGGCUCAGAACGAACGCUGGCGGCAGGCCUAACACAUGCAAGUCGAACGCGAUCUUCGGAUCGAGUGGCGCACGGGUGAGUAACGCGUGGGAAUCUGCCCUGUGGUACGGAAUAACAUCGGGAAACUGGUGCUAAUACCGUAUAUCCCCUGAGGGGGAAAGAUUUAUCGCCAUGGGAGGAGCCCGCGUAGGAUUAGCUAGUUGGUGAGGUAACGGCUCACCAAGGCGACGAUCCUUAGCUGGUCUGAGAGGAUGAUCACCCACAAUGGAACUGAGACACGGUCCAUACUCCUACGGGAGGCAGCAGUAGGGAAUUUUACGCAAUGGGCGAAAGCCUGACGUAGCGACACCGCGUGAGCGAAGAAGCCUUUUGGGGUGUAAAGCUCUGUCAGCUGGGACGAAAAAAAUGACGGUACCAGCAGAGGAAGCAUCGGCUAACUACGUGCCAGCAGCCGCGGUAAGACGUAGGAUGCGAGCGUUGUCCGGAUUUAUUGGGCGUAAAGAGUUCGUAGGCGGUUUGUUAAGUCUGAUGUUAAAGAUCGGGGCUCAACCCCGGGAGUGCAUUGGAUACUGGCAGACUGGAGUACGGUAGAGGUAAGUGGAAUUUCUGGUGUAGCGGUGAAAUGCGUAGAUAUCAGAAAGAACACCGGUGGCGUAAGCGACUUACUGGGCCGUAACUGACGCUGAGGAACGAAAGCCAGGGGAGCAAAUGGGAUUAGAUACCCCAGUAGUCCUGGCUGUAAACGAUGGAUACUAGGCGUAGUGGGUAUCGACCCCUACUGUGCCGCAGCUAACGCGAUAAGUAUCCCGCCUGAGUAGUACGGCCGCAAGGUUGAAACUCAAAGGAAUUGACGG
RNAcentral lists this ribosomal RNA (866 nucleotides) under uncultured bacterium. RNAcentral's name for it is "bacterial SSU rRNA". It matches the Rfam family "Bacterial small subunit ribosomal RNA", at positions 8 to 916 of the family's 1533-position model. The record is from RNAcentral.